This 253-nucleotide ribosomal RNA is filed under the name uncultured bacterium. RNAcentral's name for it is "partial 16S ribosomal RNA". It matches the Rfam family "Bacterial small subunit ribosomal RNA", at positions 524 to 776 of the family's 1533-position model. The record is from RNAcentral.
UACGUAGGGUGCAAGCGUUGUCCGGAUUUAUUGGGCGUAAAGAGCUCGUAGGUGGUAUGUCGCGUCGUUUGUGGAAACCGGGGGCUUAACUCUCGGCUUGUGGAUGAUACGGGCAUGCUUGAGUUCGGUAGGGGAGACUGGAAUUCCUGGUGUAGCGGUGAAAUGCGCAGAUAUCAGGGGGAACACCGGUGGCGAAGGCGGGUCUCUGGGCCGAUACUGACGCUGAGGAGCGAAAGCGUGGGGAGCGAACAGG